AACGAACGCUGGCGGCGUGCCUAACACAUGCAAGUCGAACGCGAAAAGCAGUAAUGCUGAGUAGAGUGGCGCACGGGUGAGUAACACGUAACUGACAUGUCCUAGAGACAAGGAUAACCGUUCGAAAGGAUGGCUAAUACUUGGUAAGCCCACGGAUUAGGAUCUGAGGGAAAAGGAUCGGGACCUUUCGAGGCCGAUCGCUUUAGGAGUGGGUUGCGGCCCAUCAGGUAGUUGGCGGGGUAAAGCCCACCAAGCCUAAGACGGGUAGCUGGUCUGAGAGGAUGAUCAGCCACACUGGAACUGAGACACGGUCCAGACUCCUACGGGAGGCAGCAGUGGGGAAUCUUGCGCAAUGGCAGAAAUGCUGACGCAGCAACGCCGCGUGGGUGAUGAAGGUCUUCGGAUCGUAAAGCCCUGUCGAAGGGGAAGAUGCUUGUGCAUGUUAACAGUAUGCAUAGGUGA
Molecule: ribosomal RNA, 462 nt
Filed under: uncultured bacterium
Lineage: Bacteria
Description: bacterial SSU rRNA
Rfam family: Bacterial small subunit ribosomal RNA
Source: RNAcentral